This 692-nucleotide long non-coding RNA is filed under the name Panax ginseng (ginseng). Its description in RNAcentral is "long non-coding RNA (PGIN_LNC011617)". The record is from RNAcentral. Lineage: Eukaryota; Viridiplantae; Streptophyta; Magnoliopsida; Apiales; Araliaceae.
CCCAUAUAAAUCAAUACUAGUCAAAACUUACUUACCAAAUAUUUAUCUUUUGUUUUGUUUAAAUUGAGAGGAUUGUAUAAAUGAAAUUUAUGUUGCUUUAUUUAUAAUUACAUCAUGUAGCUUGGUUGGUUAAAGUUAUAAGAAUGAGGUUUUGAGUUCGAAUCAUAAUGGAAAUGAAUUUUUUAGUCUCAACUUAUUUACAUGUUAUCAUUGUCACGGAGGAUAGUCAAUACCCAUCUACAUAAGAAGAAAUAGGCAAAAAAAAUAAGAGGCAUUGAAGUAAAAGUCCUUGAAGCAUGCAUUUUGUUGCUUUCUAUAUAUUUAGAUAUAUUUAGGAGAGUACUAUUUUUACAUGUAUUUUUGAUAUUUCUACAUAGUUGCUUCUCACAAGAAAGUGAGACUUACUAUAUGCUCAUAUGAAAGAGAAUGAAAGAAGAUCAUGUAAAAAUAUCAAAAAUACACUUAAAAUAUUAGUUCCCUAUAUUUAAGGGAACUCGCAAGCACUUUGCUACAUUUGAAAACUCAAUUUCAUGUUUUGACAUUGGAAGCAAGCACAAAAUAUAGUGUUGACUAAUAUGGAAAACUAUCCUUUGUAUGUAUGGAAUUUAGCAAAUCUAUCUUUUAAGGGACAAUUAUAUCGUAAAAUCAUAAUAUUUAAGGUAUAAUUGGUCUUGCAAAUACCACGAGAUAGC